CUCUGCUUAUAUGUAUGUGAUUAAAGGGAGAAUGAAAAGAUAAAUGAAGAAAGAUUCCUUAACAACAAAGCACGUACAAAAGGGCUUCUGCUUAAAGCAGUUUACUAAUCCAAUCACCAUUCAUUCUCAAAAUGGUUGGAAAAGGAAGGUAAUCCAAUCACCAUUCAUUCUCAAAAUGGUUGGAAAAGGAAGGAUGGUUUUGCACCCAGCAGUAUAAAUUGUCGAUGCACUGGACAACAGUAUGGACACCAAUUUCGAAUGUCUGGGCAACACAGUCACAGGAAUGCACGCUUUCCAUUGGUUAAAAUAUCUACAAAGAGGAAAGUGAACUGCAGCCACCC
Molecule: long non-coding RNA, 341 nt
Filed under: Populus tremula
Lineage: Eukaryota; Viridiplantae; Streptophyta; Magnoliopsida; Malpighiales; Salicaceae
Description: long non-coding RNA (PTRE_LNC001069)
Source: RNAcentral